Molecule: ribosomal RNA, 253 nt
Filed under: uncultured bacterium
Lineage: Bacteria
Description: partial 16S ribosomal RNA
Rfam family: Bacterial small subunit ribosomal RNA
Source: RNAcentral
UACGUAGGGGGCAAGCGUUGUCCGGAUUUAUUGGGCGUAAAGAGCGUGUAGGCGGCCAGACAGGUCAGCUGUGAAAACUCGAGGCUCAACCUCGAGACGUCGGUUGAAACCGUCUGGCUGGAGUCCGGAAGAGGAGAGUGGAAUUCCCGGUGUAGCGGUGAAAUGCGCAGAUAUCGGGAAGAACACCCGUGGCGAAGGCGGCUCUCUGGGACGGUACUGACGCUGAGACGCGAAAGCGUGGGGAGCGAACAGG